RNAcentral lists this ribosomal RNA (757 nucleotides) under Sphindus dubius. RNAcentral's name for it is "SSU rRNA". It matches the Rfam family "Eukaryotic small subunit ribosomal RNA", at positions 195 to 876 of the family's 1831-position model. The record is from RNAcentral. Lineage: Eukaryota; Metazoa; Arthropoda; Insecta; Coleoptera; Sphindidae.
GGAGGAGCGCUUUUAUUAGAUCAAAACCAAUCGGCGGCGGGUUCGCCCGUUGGCCGUACAAUUUGGUGAUACUGAAUAACUUUAAGCUGAUCGCACGGUCCUAGCACCGGCGACGCAUCUUUCAAAUGUCUGCCUUAUCAACUGUCGAUGGUAGGUUCUGCGCCUACCAUGGUUGUAACGGGUAACGGGGAAUCAGGGUUCGAUUCCGGAGAGGGAGCCUGAGAAACGGCUACCACAUCCAAGGAAGGCAGCAGGCGCGCAAAUUACCCACUCCCGGCACGGGGAGGUAGUGACGAAAAAUAACGAUACGGGACUCAUCCGAGGCCCCGUAAUCGGAAUGAGUACACUCUAAAUCCUUUAACGAGGAUCAAUUGGAGGGCAAGUCUGGUGCCAGCAGCCGCGGUAAUUCCAGCUCCAAUAGCGUAUAUUAAAGUUGUUGCGGUUAAAAAGCUCGUAGUCGAAUCUGUGUCCUGCCCCGUCGGUUCAUCGUUCGCGGUGUCAACUGGCGUGUGGCGGGACGUCCUGCCGGUGGGCUUAGUCUGUCGUCGUUCGUAAGAUCGGCGGCGGACGGCUCAAUUCAAUCCCGCCGCGGUGCUCUUCAUCGAGUGUCGAGGUGGGCCGGCACGUUUACUUUGAACAAAUUAGAGUGCUUAAAGCAGGCUAAAAUUUCGCCUGAAUAUUCUGUGCAUGGAAUAAUGAAAUAGGACCUCGGUUCUAUUUUGCUGGUUUUCUGAACCCCGAGGUAAUGAUUAAUAGG